This 4268-nucleotide unclassified non-coding RNA is filed under the name Drosophila virilis. RNAcentral's name for it is "GJ16393". Lineage: Eukaryota; Metazoa; Arthropoda; Insecta; Diptera; Drosophilidae. The record is from RNAcentral.
UUUUCUUCGGCUUUUUUUGCACAUUGUGUAUUGAUUUUGUGGCAUUUAAUUAAUUGAUUUUACUAAAAUUUUCAACUCCUAACAGUUAAUUAAUUGGUUCUACAAAAUAAAAUGCAUUCGUGUAUUGAUUAACUCGGCUUGAUUGCUUAAUGUCAACAAAUAUAUUGAAGCAAACUUCGCAGAUUCUGUCGAUAUUUGCAUAUAAGUGGUAUCAAAUAUAGCUCUGUGAUAUGGAAAGUACAGAGUUUACUAGAUCGACUAAUUCCUUGGGAGUUGCAGUAGCCGCCGAGCUCAACUCUGAUCAGAUUCUACGCUCAGACAACCAAAAUUCUGGAGUUAACUGUUUGGCACGGAUCGAUAUGGACUUAGACGCAUAUCAAACGGAAAGCAUACAUCAUAACUUAACCAACAACCAUUCAGGGUUUCGUUGGAAGCGCGUCCUUAACCCAACCGGUCCCCAACCACGGCCGCGACAUGGCCACCGCGCAAUAAAUAUAAAGGAACUUAUGGUAGUUUUUGGUGGUGGUAAUGAAGGAAUUGUGGACGAGCUGCACGUUUAUAAUACAGUUACUAAUCAAUGGUAUGUGCCUGUGUUGAAAGGUGAUGUGCCAAACGGAUGUGCUGCUUAUGGGUUUGUCGUGGAGGGAACACGCAUGUUUGUUUUUGGCGGCAUGAUUGAAUAUGGAAAAUAUUCAAAUGAGCUCUACGAACUUCAGGCAACCAAGUGGGAGUGGAGAAAAAUGUAUCCGGAGUCACCAGAUAAUGGCUUGUCGCCAUGUCCUCGUUUAGGUCACAGCUUUACGAUGGUGGGGGACAAAAUAUUUCUCUUUGGCGGAUUGGCAAAUGAAUCGGAUGACCCAAAAAAUAAUAUUCCAAAAUAUCUGAAUGAUUUGUAUAUAUUGGAUACUCGUGGGGUACAUAGUCACAACGGAAAGUGGAUAAUUCCUAAGACAUUUGGAGAUAGCCCUCCACCACGCGAGUCCCACACUGGAAUAUCCUUUACAAGUAAAGAUACUGGCAAGUUAAAUUUGCUGGUAUAUGGAGGAAUGAGUGGCUGCCGUUUGGGCGACUUAUGGUUACUUGAGACGGAUUCCAUGACAUGGGAAAAACCGCGUACUAGGGGCCAAGCUCCACUUCCGCGUUCAUUACAUAGCUCGACAAUGAUUGCAAACAAAAUGUAUGUUUUUGGUGGAUGGGUGCCGUUGGUAAUUAAUGACUCAAAAGCGACCACUGAGCGGGAAUGGAAAUGCACAAAUACACUGGCCGUUCUCGAUUUAGAUACAAUGAUUUGGGAGAAUGUCACCUUGGACACCGUUGAGGAAAAUGUACCAAGGGCACGAGCAGGUCACUGCGCCGUUGGAAUUCAAAGUCGUCUGUACGUAUGGUCCGGCCGAGACGGUUACCGCAAAGCUUGGAACAACCAGGUUAGGGUCUGUUGUAAGGAUUUAUGGUACCUGGAGGUGACGAAACCACUCUAUGCAGUUAAAGUAGCACUAGUGCGUGCGUCCACGCAUGCGCUGGAGCUUUCUUGGACGGCAACAACCUUUGCCGCUGCCUAUGUACUUCAGAUACAAAAGAUCGAUCAAGCACCAGCAAUAGGCAGUACAAAGCAGAGUCAUAGUCAAAGUCAGACUCAAACGGCCUCCGCCAAUGGAUCCGAAAGUAUACCUUUAGUAGCGUCUGCUGCACUGAAGUUCGAAAAAAACCCAAUUUCAGUGUUGCAUCUGACUGGAGCCAAGAGUCCAUCAGUGGGUACUGGGCAGCCUAUUACGGCUUUAGCCAAAUCAUCGGUUGGACAACCUCAAGCAUUGGGCAGCGCUGUUUUUGUAGCCCAGACGCAGGCACAAACGCAAGGUAGCCCCGUUAAAGUCAAGGCAGUUGGCUUAUCAACAGUGUCUGUUUCCUCGGAAACAACCCCCACAAUGUCAACGACAGUUAGUGUGCAACCACAACUAUCGAUUAUAAGCAGCACUGCAUCAAGCAUCAACCCGGUAAACAGCGGCAGCGGAGGCAGCGCUAAUAUGCAAAAAUUUCGACCCAACUCGUCCAUUUCUAAGACGUCGUUGGCUGCAACCAUAUCCUCUGCAACAACUUCUGCCCCGGCUUCUCAAAUAAACGAGGGUGACAUUUGUGUUCAAAAUGUUGCCGUUCGUGUAGCAAACACUGCAGCGACCAGUGGAAUAGUUCUCACCUCCCAGACAUCGACAGGAGCUUUGCGCAUUCUUCCUGGUGUAUCGACCAGUACUGGCGUGACCGCUGGCCAAACAUUACGCCUAGCCACAACAUAUAGCAACAGCGGAAGUGGUUCAACCACCACAACAAUAUUAAAAGCGUCUCAGCCCAGCGCCUCCGCGCAGCUAUCUAGCGGCGGAUCGCAGACAACCUCCCCGGCAGCAACUGUUACUACGUCCCUUGGGGGCAAACAGUAUUUCAUACAAAAACCACUUAACCUGGCUCCAAAUGUACAGCUGCAGUUUGUUAAAACAAGCAGUGGAGGUAUGACGGUGCAGACGUUACCUAAGGUCAACUUUAAUAUUGCAAAGAGUGUUACCCAGGGCCAGGCCAUCUCCAUUUGUAAUCAACAACUGACCCCAGGCUCUACACAAAUUCAGAUAACGUCUGGCAGUAGUGUGCAAUCAAAGACAGUAAUGGCUACAGGUCAAAAUUUAAUGGCGACAUCUACUGGAGCGACUGGCUCACACCAACAAUCUUCGCUGCAGCAGCACCAGCAAAAACCAAUAGUUUCUGGCAAUGUUUUAAAGCUGGUAUCACCUCAUACAGUAUCCGGCGGCAAAUUGAUCAUGAAGAAUUCGAACAUUCUGCAGAUGGGCAAAGUUACGCCCAAUGUGAUGGGGGGAAAGCCAGCUUUCGUCAUCACCAACAAGCACGGCACUCAGAUAGGUAACCAGCAAAUUAUAAUUGUUACCACUGGUGCCAGUUUACGAACAGUGCCGUCUAGCUCUGUGGUGAGCAGUGCUGGUAGUUCAACAGGCGGUACGAGCAUAGUGAGCAUUGUUGGUUCGACAGGGACAACGGCUACGCCUAUUGCAGUUGGCGGACAGCGUGCUGUAAUAUCCAAUCAAAGUAGCGUUAAAAUGGUCCGCAACAUACCGAGUACCCCUGGUGCUUCUGGGCGCCCCAUUACUCUGACCUUGCCGCAAACAUCAUCGUCUACACAUAUGUCUGGAAGCUCAGGCCAUGUAACGUCCCAGAAACUCACUGGAACGUCACUGUCGCAGAAAACUGCCGUGUAUAUUGGUGGCAAGCCAGUUACAGUAAUGAGUGCAAGUUCCGGGAUUGGCUCACCAGGUUCCAGUUCCACAAAUAAGUUGGUAAUGUUGCCAGGCGCAACGGCUGCGAGAAAGGGAUUUGUCAACAUUUUUAACACUGGUGGUGCAAGUGGUCCUGGAAGUGGCCAACGCACAUUGACAUUGGCUACCAGAAGUGCGCCUGUAAAGACAGCAGCCGUGCAGCUAAAGGAGAAGGACAACAGCAAUGUUGAGCCAGCGGUUACAAUUGCCACGAUAGCUGAUUCAGUUUGCGCCGACACCGAUCCUAUCGAUGAUAUUAUUGAGCAGCUGGACGGUGCGGACGACAUACUAAAGCCGCUUAAAAAUGAAGCCCGAGAGCCUGAAAACAUUGAAAAUGAUAAUGCCGCUGCAACUUCAACAUCAACACCAACAUUAGUUCAAUCGGCAACGCCUACCACUGGACCGUUAACCAUAAUGUCUGAUGCACAGGAUACAGUGACAGAAAUUAAAAUUCCAGAGACUGUUGACGAUAUUUCUAGUGUUAGUAGUACUACGGAUGUGCAGAAAACAUCAACUGCAACUAAAGAUAGAAAUUCCGUAAUUGGAACAUGCUCAGCCGAGAAUAUCGACUCCAAUUCUAGUUUCCCCGCAGCCGUUACAACCACUGCAACGGACUGCAAUCAGCCAACGGCAUCUGAGACUGAGGCUGCAAAUAUAUUAACUACAAUUAAAUCAGCAUCAUCACCAAAACGUAGACGGCUCGCAUUUGGAGGCCCUUGCUUCUGCAGCUGUAAUGCAAGCGGCUACCGCAUCGGCAGAUUCAAGUCAGGCAGCAAGGAGCCUACUUGAUAGCUCGUCAGCCGCCCAUCUUAGCAAUACAAGCUACAAAUCAACUGAACAACAAAAAAACAGCAAUGACAACAAUGUCCCUGUCACAGUUGCUGAUACAGUUGACGACACUGAUAAGUGGCAUACGGUGGGCAUAUUCAAGGAACUGUCACAUACUGUAACUAGCUA